UGCUCUUCCCAUCUCAUGUCCUUCUACUCAGCCAUCUUGGUUCCUCUCUGGGCUAGAUUCUUCUAUAAGGAUUUCUUAAAAUAUAAAUUAUCUAUUAAAUUAUCUGCUUGGUCUUCAUAACCAACCCAUGAGGUGUGAUCCCAGCUUUGCCCAUGAGUAAAAUAAGCUACUAGAAGUGGACUUGCUCUGGGACUUCCCUGGUG
Molecule: long non-coding RNA, 203 nt
Organism: Aethalodelphis obliquidens (Pacific white-sided dolphin)
Lineage: Eukaryota; Metazoa; Chordata; Mammalia; Artiodactyla; Delphinidae
Exons: 3
Source: RefSeq, a predicted model, not a curated record